Non-coding RNA from Pelobates cultripes (western spadefoot toad), 362 nucleotides. The record is from the annotation of a GenBank genome assembly. Lineage: Eukaryota; Metazoa; Chordata; Amphibia; Anura; Pelobatidae.
GUUUAUUGCUAACCACGAGUGUCUUAUAGCCUGUUUUUAACCCUUAACAUGCUCUUGAAUCGUAUAUGCCUGUUUUAACCUCACCAAGUUGACUAUUCAAUUUACCUAAAUCCUCGCUUAACCUAUAAUAUAAAAAUGUACUAGUACUAACUAAUCCUGCUCUAUUCAAACCAUUAAGCGAGAACAGUUCUGUUGUAUACAAAUUUAGCAUAGCAUGUUUAUUGCUAACCACGAAUGUCUUAUAGCCUGUUUUUUUCAUGAGAAAAAAAAAAAAUGUGCCGUUUAACCUGCCACACUUUGGAAUUCUAUGAAUCUGCUUGCAGCGGCUGUUGUGGCUCUGCAUGCUUGUUGUUACUUCAUGC